This 73-nucleotide transfer RNA is filed under the name Planctomycetota bacterium. RNAcentral's name for it is "Planctomycetes bacterium (activated sludge metagenome) tRNA-Asp". It matches the Rfam family "tRNA". Rfam says of the family: Transfer RNA (tRNA) molecules are approximately 80 nucleotides in length. Their secondary structure includes four short double-helical elements and three loops (D, anti-codon, and T loops). Further hydrogen bonds mediate the characteristic L-shaped molecular structure. tRNAs have two regions of fundamental functional importance: the anti-codon, which is responsible for specific mRNA codon recognition, and the 3' end, to which the tRNAs corresponding amino acid is attached (by aminoacyl-tRNA synthetases). tRNAs cope with the degeneracy of the genetic code in two manners: having more than one tRNA (with a specific anti-codon) for a particular amino acid; and 'wobble' base-pairing, i.e. permitting non-standard base-pairing at the 3rd anti-codon position. The record is from RNAcentral. Lineage: Bacteria; Pseudomonadati; Planctomycetota.
GCGUUUGUAGAGGAGCGGAGUCCUCGUCUCCUUGUCACGGAGAAGAUCGCGGGUUCGAAUCCCGCCAGACGCG